Long non-coding RNA from Rhinopithecus roxellana (golden snub-nosed monkey), 472 nucleotides. RefSeq lists it as uncharacterized. The record is from RefSeq and is a predicted model, not a curated record. The transcript has 4 exons. Lineage: Eukaryota; Metazoa; Chordata; Mammalia; Primates; Cercopithecidae.
GGAGUAGCAGAACCUCAGCUUCAAUGGGACCAUCAUUUCAUAAAUGAAGAAACUGAGAUUUAAAGAGGGGAACUACCGAAGGUCACAGAGCGAGUUCGUGGACUUCCCAGAUGACCACCAAGGCGGAAGCGAUGGUGAUGCCCAGGCAGAAGGGAGUUAGGCUGGCCCAGGCUUUUCCUGUAGGCAUAGCCCGCUCCAGGUUCAGCCUUCCCGGACGGCUUUGAGUAGCCUGGCAGCCCUAUAAGGGGAAACCCACCUAUGAGUUGAAGCGAAGCUGGUGCAGAGAGAUGAGCCAAUUGAGCAGGAGACAGUGUCAGCAGCUGUGGGGGUGUCGAGUACUCCCUCCUGCCUGUGGGAGCUGCACCGUGGAGUCUAGCUUGUUAUCCUCCAGAGGCAGAGCCCCACCUCCGUGCCUCCUCUUGGUAUAGGUGGACAGCCAUGGUGGCGGAGGCUGCAGAACUGAGCAGGUGAU